CUGGACACAGACUCUGGCCCUGGCGCCUCGGCCAGGCCUGGGGAGGGGGAUUCCCCACCGAUACCUGGAGGACCCCAAAGACUCUGGGCCGCACGACUCAGGCCUUCUGUCCUCUGGGUUCCGGCCCAGUGCCACACUGGCCUGAGCCUGGCCUAUGUUGGCCACCCUUCAUCAAAAGGUGGGGUCAAGGGUCACAGAGAAGCCAUCUCUCUGACCUUGGCAUUUGAGGGUGCUGCUAGCCUCCAGACCCUGACAAGGCCCCAUUCCCAAGCUUCGCUUCGGCCGUUGGCCCAGGGGGGCCGGGAGCACCGCUUCCCACCUUAGCAAGCAGGAAAAGGAAGUGGCGGUGACUGGAGUCCGGCUGUGGAGCUACAGACCCCGAGCAUGCGCAGCCUGUGACCUGGAAUCCUGCACUGGAAGAGCAGGAGGCUUGCGGGUGCCAGGGACAGGGCCAAGAGUCCCAAAGACAGUGGACACUGAGCUCUGAGGCCGGACUGAUGGAGAAGGCUCCAGGGAGGAGGAGGCCCAGUAAGCAAGAUGGAUUUCGUCAGGGUCUGACGGUGCACGCCUGUCUCCUCAGCACUCUGGGAGGCUGAGGCAGGACGACCCCAAGUUCAAGCCUGGGCAACGUGGUGACUCAGCAAAGACCCUGUCUCAAAAUAAAAAAUGAAAAAGGGCUGGAGAUGUAGCUCAGUGAGAAGGCCCUCAGUUCAAUCCCCAAGGCCACCAAAAAUAAACCAAAAAGGAAAGAAAGAAAAUAAAC
Molecule: long non-coding RNA, 763 nt
Filed under: Heterocephalus glaber (naked mole-rat)
Lineage: Eukaryota; Metazoa; Chordata; Mammalia; Rodentia; Bathyergidae
Description: lncRNA (ENSHGLG00100051903.1)
Source: RNAcentral